CUUUUUGUGCAUAAUGUAUAUAUAGGGGGGUGGUAGUACUCUUGGGGUAGACAGGCAUGUGCUGGGAUGGCAUGCCAAGGCAUGUGCUGGGAUGGCAUGCCAAGGACAAGCAUGUGCUGGGAAGGCAUGCCAAGGCCAAGACAAGGCCAAGGCAAGCACAUGCAUGGUGAGCGAGAUGAGACGGUUACGUUUACCCCAAGAGUGCCCAACGAGGUGGUGUCAAACGCAUGCUGAGCCCCUCUUCGGUAGUUUGGCACGACAACAUAGACAUUCAGGCAAGCGUGUCUAUGGUUAACGUCUGUUCAGCUUGCCAGCCAUGUUAGGUAUUAUUCUACGGAUGAGAUGAUGGCACAAGGAUGAUUGCUGGUAACGUUUUGGCACCAGACCGCAUUGCUAGUUCAAGCUUCAACGGGUGGAAAUAUGCCUAUAGGGGUGUUGCUUGCUUGCUGUGGAUUUGGGACACGCCCAAUAUCUAUCAUUGACCCAACGAAGUGCUCAACAUGGGUUGCUGAGGGCUAUUUUGGCACAGAUGCUUCACUCGUUUGCUUGGCUUUGAUAAAUGUUUAGAUGUCAUGAUGCUUGGGAUCCAAUAAAUAUAUGUGGGAAGCUGAGAGCUGGAACCCAAUGUCAUUCACCAGACGCUUUAGCUUCGUCAGUGUGUAUAAUAUGUCAUUGAACCCCAAUCCUCGAUGCCGACCUGUUUAUGACUUUUGGAUUGCAAUUAUCAUGGCUAUCAAAAACUGAGUAGGAGUCAUGGAAUAAGUGAACAAUUUGUGGCCUUUAUAGCUGUCAGCUUUCGCAUCGCCCGGUGUGUUUUGGGAAUCGCUUUGUGCAUUUGGUUGCCUGCCGUGCCUCUUGGCAUACGGUUGGUGCCACUUGCCGGGUGGUUUUCGGAAACAUCCACCGUAAAGGUGCAUGAGUGGUGUUUGGUUUGUUACGGGUGGUUGGCUCUUUGCUUGCGCAACAACUGCCACCCGACUUACCUCUUCAGUUUUUGCCUAGGCUUGUAUAGCCUAAGCAGAUUGUGGGUUUCCUGUGUUGCCUACCUACGUCACGGAAUUGUCCCGAUCGAUCAAAGUUGCUUUCGUCUUGUGUCGUCUUGAUGGCAUAAGAUGAACCAUGAAGCUGUCUCUUUGCACCGCAUCGUUAAUGCAUGCAUUGAUGUUGUGGCCCAUUGAGCAUUGCUUGGUACCUCGGAUACGGAACCUUAUGUGGGCAUGGGUCCUUAGGGAUCCUUGUUCUGCCCUCGUUUAGCGUUCGCGCUUCUCUUAGAAUGACUGCCCAGCCGGAAUGGGAAGCCAUUCUGGAUGGGCAUCGUCAAAGAGGAAUGC
Molecule: unclassified non-coding RNA, 1331 nt
Filed under: Helianthus argophyllus
Lineage: Eukaryota; Viridiplantae; Streptophyta; Magnoliopsida; Asterales; Asteraceae
Description: partial external transcribed spacer
Source: RNAcentral